AGAGCGCACGGAGGAUGCCUUGGCACUAGGAGCCGAAGAAGGACGUGACAAACGACGAAACGCUACGGGGAGCUGUAAGUAAGCAAAGAUCCGUAGAUAUCCGAAUGGGGGAACCCACCGCUUUUAAAAGGGCGGUACGCGAAAGCGAGGUAACGCAGGGAACUGAAACAUCUAAGUACCUGUAGGAAGAGAAAGAAAAAUCGAUUUCCUAAGUAGCGGCGAGCGAAAGGGAAAGAGCCCAAACCAAUGUGCUUGCAUAUUGGGGUUGUAGGACUCUCAGAAAAGCGUAUGACAAAGUAUAGUAGAACGAGCUGGAAAGUUAGACCGUAGAAGGUAAAAGUCCUGUAUACGAAAUGCUGAGUUGGCGUGAGAGAGCACCUGAGUACGGCGGAACACGAGGAAUUCCGUCGGAAUCUACCAGGACCAUCUGGUAAGGCUAAAUACUACCUAGUGACCGAUAGUGAACCAGUACCGUGAGGGAAAGGUGAAAAGAACCCCGGGAGGGGAGUGAAAGAGAACCUGAAACCGUGUGCUUACAAGUAGUCAGAGCCCUUUAGGGGGUGAUGGCGUGCCUUUUGUAGAAUGAACCGGCGAGUUACUUUAUCAUGCGAGGUUAAGUGGAAGACAUGGAGCCGAAGCGAAAGCGAGUCUUAAUAGGGCGAGAUAGUAUGAUGGAGUAGACCCGAAACCAAGUGAUCUACCCAUGGCCAGGUUGAAGUUUAGGUAACACUGAAUGGAGGACCGAACCAGGACACGUUGAAAAGUGUUUGGAUGAGCUGUGGGUAGCGGAGAAAUUCCAAUCGAACUUGGAAAUAGCUGGUUCUCUCCGAAAUAGCUUUAGGGCUAGCCUCGUUGUGAGUUUACUGGAGGUAGAGCACUGUUUGGACUAGGGGCCCAUCCCGGGUUACCGAAUUCAGACAAACUCCGAAUGCCAGAUAAAUAUCAACGGGAGUCAGACUGCGGGUGAUAAGGUUCGUAGUCGAAAGGGAAACAGCCCAGACCGCCAGCUAAGGUCCCAAAUUGUAUGUUAAGUGGAAAAGGAUGUGAUGAUGCACAGACAACCAGGAUGUUGGCUUAGAAGCAGCCACCAUUUAAAGAGUGCGUAAUAGCUCACUGGUCGAGUGACAUCGCGCCGAAAAUGUACCGGGGCUAAACAUACAACCGAAGCUGCGGAUAUAACUAAUGUUAUAUGGUAGGAGAGCGUUCUAACAUCAUAGAAGCCGAACUGGAAGGUGAGGUGGAGAGGUUAGAAGUGAGAAUGCCGGUGUGAGUAGCGAAAGAUAGGUGAGAAUCCUAUCCACCGAAAGACUAAGGUUUCCAGAGGAAGGCUCGUCCGCUCUGGGUAAGUCGGGACCUAAGGUGAAGCCGAUAGGUGAAGCCGAUGGACAACAGGUAGAAAUUCCUGUACCACCGAAUAUCGAUUGAGAGAAGUGGGGACAGAGGAGGCUAAUUGAUCGCCCUGAUGGAAUAGGGCGUCUAAGCACAAAGACUGACAAGUAGGCAAAUCCGCUUGUUUAAAGGUUGAAGUGUGAUGGGGAGCGAAAUAUAGUAGCGAAGUCAAUGAAGCCAAACUCUCAAGAAAAGCCGCUAUCGAGAUAAGAGGUGCCCGUACCGCAAACCGACACAGGUAGUUGGGAAGAGAAUUCUAAGGUGAGCGAGAGAACCAUCGUUAAGGAACUCGGCAAAAUGACCCCGUAACUUCGGGAGAAGGGGUGCCUACGAGAGUAGGCCGCAGUGAAUAGGCCCAAGCGACUGUUUAUCAAAAACACAGGUCUCUGCAAAACCGAAAGGUGAAGUAUAGGGGCUGACGCCUGCCCGGUGCUGGAAGGUUAAGAGGAGUGCUUAGCGCAAGCGAAGGUAUGAAUUGAAGCCCCAGUAAACGGCGGCCGUAACUAUAACGGUCCUAAGGUAGCGAAAUUCCUUGUCGGGUAAGUUCCGACCCGCACGAAAGGCGUAAUGAUUUGGGCACUGUCUCAACGAGAGACUCGGUGAAAUUUUAGUACCUGUGAAGAUGCAGGUUACCCGCGACAGGACGGAAAGACCCCAUGGAGCUUUACUGUAGCUUGAUAUUGAAUUUUGAUGCAGUAUGUACAGGAUAGGUAGGAGCCUAGGAAUCAUGCACGCCAGUGUAUGAGGAGGCGUUGUUGGGAUACUACCCUUGCUGUAUUGAAAUUCUAACCCUCGGCAUAGAAAACCGGGAGACAGUGUCAGGUGGGCAGUUUGACUGGGGCGGUCGCCUC
RNAcentral lists this ribosomal RNA (2240 nucleotides) under human oral metagenome. RNAcentral describes it as "bacterial LSU rRNA". It matches the Rfam family "Bacterial large subunit ribosomal RNA", at positions 14 to 2289 of the family's 2925-position model. The record is from RNAcentral.